This 429-nucleotide ribosomal RNA is filed under the name bacterium. Its description in RNAcentral is "partial 16S ribosomal RNA". It matches the Rfam family "Bacterial small subunit ribosomal RNA", at positions 355 to 776 of the family's 1533-position model. The record is from RNAcentral.
UAGGGAAUCUUCGGCAAUGGGGGCAACCCUGACCGAGCAACGCCGCGUGAGUGAAGAAGGUUUUCGGAUCGUAAAGCUCUGUUGUAAGAGAAGAACGUGUGUGAGAGUGGAAAGUUCACACAGUGACGGUAACUUACCAGAAAGGGACGGCUAACUACGUGCCAGCAGCCGCGGUAAUACGUAGGUCCCGAGCGUUGUCCGGAUGUAUUGGGCGUAAAGCGAGCGCAGGCGGUUUAAUAAGUCUGAAGUUAAAGGCAGUGGCUUAACCAGUGUUCGCUUUGGAAACUGGUAAACUUGAGUGCAGAAGGGGAGAGUGGAAUUCCAUGUGUAGCGGUGAAAUGCGUAGAUAUAUGGAGGAACACCGGUGGCGAAAGCGGCUCUCUGGUCUGUAACUGACGCUGAGGCUCGAAAGCGUGGGGAGCAAACAGG